Molecule: long non-coding RNA, 856 nt
Organism: Callithrix jacchus (white-tufted-ear marmoset)
Lineage: Eukaryota; Metazoa; Chordata; Mammalia; Primates; Cebidae
Source: Ensembl
GUUUGCAGAUUAGAUUCACAUGAAGACUUAGCUCCCUCUCUGCUCCUGCUAAGUCUAAGGAAUGCAAAUUUUGCCUUUGCAAAAAUUAACAUCAUGCUCCUAGCAAGAAAGCAGGUGACAAGCUCAGCAGCUCUGCUUCAGUUUGUUUUUCUCCAUGGCAGGAACAUGUGCCCCUGAGUGGGCACUGUUAGUGGAAUCGGUAGGAACGCAAAUGCAAAGGCAGGGAGAUAAAGGUGAGUCAGGAAGGAGAAAGCGGCACUUGGGGGCAGAACAGAACACCAAAAAAGCCAGGUGAUGGAAACAAGGCAAACCAUCAUUAGCCCAAGUUAACAGAAGCAAGUUGACUCAUGCAGCCGUGGGAAAAGCUAAGGUUGCUUGCAUGGACAUGGUGAGUCAUCUAAUGUGUAAGUCAAGCUACCAGCUAUAAUUAAUCUUGUACGUGGACACAAAGUCGAGUAUUUUGAACAUGAGCUAAUGAGAUUGACCUGUAGGAUCAUGCAGCUCUAACAGCUGAGUAGGCAAAUCAAGGAUAAAGGAAAAAGCUGGGGGUGCCCUUGGGCAGUCCCUUUCUUUGUGGCCUGUGCAUUUGCCUGUGUGGUGCUCUCUGUGGGAUGCAGGCUGAGCUGGAUGAAAUUUGCCCCACCCACGCUGCCCUCAAGUUGCUCCUUAUUUAUAGUACUAUUCCAGGAGGAUGUCUUCUGCAGUACAAGUACGUGAACCUACUGCCAGACUGAGAUGUAAAUGCCAUUUCUGGUGUACAUUAAGAAGAUGUGAAAUAAUUCGCUCAAAGCCAUGGUUAUGGAGCAAAAUAUUAAAAAUAGACACAGUCUUGCUAUGUUGCCCAGGCUGGUCUUAA